Molecule: ribosomal RNA, 563 nt
Filed under: uncultured bacterium
Lineage: Bacteria
Description: bacterial SSU rRNA
Rfam family: Bacterial small subunit ribosomal RNA
Source: RNAcentral
UCCUACGGGAGGCAGCAGUGGGGAAUAUUGGGCAAUGGGCGAAAGCCUGAUCCAGCAAUGCCGCGUGAGUGAUGAAGGCCUUAGGGUUGUAAAGCUCUUUUACCAGGGAUGAUAAUGACAGUACCUGGAGAAUAAGCUCCGGCUAACUCCGUGCCAGCAGCCGCGGUAAUACGGAGGGAGCUAGCGUUGUUCGGAAUUACUGGGCGUAAAGCGUGCGUAGGCGGUUAUUCAAGUCAGAGGUGAAAGCCCGGGGCUCAACCCCGGAACUGCCUUUGAAACUAGAUAGCUAGAAUCUUGGAGAGGUCAGUGGAAUUCCGAGUGUAGAGGUGAAAUUCGUAGAUAUUCGGAAGGACACCAGUGGCGAAGGCGACUGACUGGACAAGCAUUGACGCUGAGGCACGAAAGCGUGGGGAGCAAACAGGAUUAGAUACCCUGGUAGUCCACGCCGUAAACGAUGAUAACUAGCUGUCCGGACACUUGGUGUUUGGGUGGCGCAGCUAACGCAUUAAGUUAUCCGCCUGGGGAGUACGGUCGCAAGAUUAAAACUCAAAGGAAUUGACGGA